UACGAGGGGGGCGAGCGUUGUUCGGAUUCAUUGGGCGUAAAGGGCGCGUAGGCUGCGGGGCAAGUCGGGUGUGAAAUCUCAGAGCUCAACUCUGAAACUGCACUCGAUACUGCUUUGCUCGAGGACUGGAGAGGAGAUUGGAAUUCACGGUGUAGCAGUGAAAUGCGUAGAUAUCGUGAGGAAGACCAGUGGCGAAGGCGGAUCUCUGGACAGUUCCUGACGCUGAGGCGCGAAAGCGUGGGGAGCAAACAGG
This 253-nucleotide ribosomal RNA is filed under the name uncultured bacterium. RNAcentral describes it as "partial 16S ribosomal RNA". It matches the Rfam family "Bacterial small subunit ribosomal RNA", at positions 524 to 776 of the family's 1533-position model. The record is from RNAcentral.